GUUUGCGCUGGCUUCGGCAGUCAUCCACUAAGAUUGGGACAAUACAGAGAUUAGCAUGGCCUCUGUGCAAGGAUAACACGCAGAUUCAUGAAGUUCCGUAUUUAAAA
Small nuclear RNA from Ursus americanus (American black bear), 107 nucleotides. The record is from Ensembl. NCBI's taxonomy places the organism in Eukaryota, Metazoa, Chordata, Mammalia, Carnivora, Ursidae.